GGCAAGUCUGGUGCCAGCAGCGAGGAAAUACCAGCUCCAAUAGCGUAUAUUAAAGUUGUUGCAGUUAAAAAGCUCGUAGUUGAAUUUCGGGGUUAGUAGGUUGGUCAUGCCUCCGGUAUGUACUGAUCUCACUGAUUCCUCCUUCCUUAUGAACCGUAAUGCCAUUAAUUUGGUGUUGCGGGGAAUUUGGACUGUUACUUUGAAAAAAUUAGAGUGUUUAAAGCAGGC
RNAcentral lists this ribosomal RNA (228 nucleotides) under Glomus sp. WY_4. Its description in RNAcentral is "partial 18S ribosomal RNA". It matches the Rfam family "Eukaryotic small subunit ribosomal RNA", at positions 554 to 785 of the family's 1831-position model. The record is from RNAcentral. Lineage: Eukaryota; Fungi; Glomeromycota; Glomeromycetes; Glomerales; Glomeraceae.